AAGAAGGCCUUCGGGUUGUAAAGCUCUUUCAGAUGCGAAGAUGAUGACGGUAACAUCAGAAGAAGCCCCGGCUAAUUUCGUGCCAGCAGCCGCGGUAAUACGAAAGGGGCUAGCGUUGUUCGGAUUUACUGGGCGUAAAGGGCACGCAGGCGGUCUUGCCAGUCAGGGGUGAAAGCCCGAGGCUCAACCUCGGAACUGCCUCUGAUACUGUAAGACUUGAGACUAGGAGAGGGUGGUGGAAUUCCCAGUGUAGAGGUGAAAUUCGUAGAU
Molecule: ribosomal RNA, 270 nt
Filed under: Paramoeba aestuarina
Lineage: Eukaryota; Discosea; Flabellinia; Dactylopodida; Paramoebidae
Description: partial Bacterial small subunit ribosomal RNA
Rfam family: Bacterial small subunit ribosomal RNA
Source: RNAcentral